UACAGUGAAGUGAGUGGUGAUAGGGAGGUGCAGCGUACAAUGCUUGAAUUGCUUAAUCAACUUGAUGGCUUUAGUAGUGAUGACCGGAUCAAGGUGAUAGCAGCGACAAAUCAUGCUGACAUCCUUGACCCUGCUCUUAUGCGUUCCGGUCGAUUGGAUCGUAAAAUUGAGUUUCCACAUCCCACUGAAGAAGCAAGAGCUCGGAUUCUGCAGAUUCACUCUAGGAAGAUGAAUGUUCACCCGGACGUCAAUUUUGAAGAAUUAGCUUGCUCUACUGAUGAUUCAAUGGUGCACAACUAAAAGCAGUUUGUGUGGAGGCAGGCAUGCUGGCCCUUCGCCGUGAUGCAACUGAGAUGAGCCUGAUGAUUCCAUGCAUACAUUUACUGGUCAUACGGGUAAG
Molecule: long non-coding RNA, 400 nt
Organism: Rosa chinensis
Lineage: Eukaryota; Viridiplantae; Streptophyta; Magnoliopsida; Rosales; Rosaceae
Exons: 4
Source: RefSeq, a predicted model, not a curated record